GAUGAAGAACGUAGCGAAAUGCGAUAAGUAAUGUGAAUUGCAGAAUUCCGUGAAUCAUCGAAUCUUUGAACGCACAUUGCGCCCCCUGGCAUUCCGGGGGGCAUGCCUGUCCGAGUGUCAUUUCUGCCCUCCAGCCCGGCUGGGUGUUGGGCGCUGUCCCCCCGGGGACACGCCCCAAAGGCAGUGGCGGCGCCGCGUCGGGUCCUCGAGCGUAUGGGGCUUUGUCACCCGCUCGGGACGGACUCGUCGGCGCUGGUCUUCCUCCAGGCGACCCUUCGGGGCUCGUCUUCCUUCGGUUGACCUCGGAUCAGGUAGGGUUACCCGCUGAACUUAAGCAUAUCAAUAAGCGGAGGA
Molecule: unclassified non-coding RNA, 354 nt
Filed under: soil metagenome
Description: partial contains 5.8S ribosomal RNA, internal transcribed spacer 2, and large subunit ribosomal RNA
Rfam family: 5.8S ribosomal RNA (bases 1-120)
Source: RNAcentral